This 513-nucleotide ribosomal RNA is filed under the name uncultured bacterium. RNAcentral describes it as "bacterial SSU rRNA". It matches the Rfam family "Bacterial small subunit ribosomal RNA", at positions 8 to 507 of the family's 1533-position model. The record is from RNAcentral.
AGAGUUUGAUCAUGGCUCAGGAUUGAACGCUGGCGGCAUGCUUUACACGAUGCAAGUCGAGCGGCAGGCGCGGGGGCAACCCUGGCGGCGAGCGGCGAACGGGUGAGUAAUGCAUCGGAACGUACCCUGGGAGUGGGGGGAUAACGCCGCGAAAGCGGCGCUAAUACCGCAUAUGCUCUGACGGAGGGAAAAGUUGGGGGGACCGCAAGGCCUCACGCUCUGGGAGCGGCCGAUGUCCGAUUAGCUAGUUGGUGGGGUAAAGGCUUACCAAGGCGACGAUCGGUAGCUGGUCUGAGAGGAUGAUCAGCCACACUGGGACUGAGACACGGCCCAGACUCCUACGGGAGGCAGCAGUGGGGAAUUUUGGACAAUGGGGGCAACCCUGAUCCAGCCAUGCCGCGUGAGUGAAGAAGGCUUCGGGUUGUAAAGCUCUUUUGGUCGGGAAGAAAGCGCCUUGCCUAAUACGCGAGGUGGUUGACGGUACCGGCAGAAUAAGCACCGGCUAACUACGUG